This 197-nucleotide ribosomal RNA is filed under the name uncultured Veillonellaceae bacterium. Its description in RNAcentral is "partial 16S ribosomal RNA". It matches the Rfam family "Bacterial small subunit ribosomal RNA", at positions 154 to 334 of the family's 1533-position model. Lineage: Bacteria; Bacillati; Bacillota; Negativicutes; Veillonellales; Veillonellaceae. The record is from RNAcentral.
AAACGACUGCUAAUACCGAAUACGUUCCACGGGCCGCAUGACCUGUGGAAGAAAGGGUAGCCUCUACCUGUAAGCUAUCGCCUGAAGAGGGGUUUGCGUCUGAUUAGGCAGUUGGUGGGGUAACGGCCCACCAAACCAACGAUCAGUAGCCGGUCUGAGAGGAUGAACGGCCACACUGGAACUGAGACACGGUCCAG